RNAcentral lists this unclassified non-coding RNA (319 nucleotides) under uncultured fungus. RNAcentral describes it as "partial contains small subunit ribosomal RNA, internal transcribed spacer 1, and 5.8S ribosomal RNA". The stretch from base 1 to 73 matches the Rfam family "Eukaryotic small subunit ribosomal RNA", at positions 1759 to 1831 of the family's 1831-position model. The record is from RNAcentral. Lineage: Eukaryota; Fungi.
GCAAACUUGGUCAUUUAGAGGAAGUAAAAGUCGUAACAAGGUUUCCGUAGGUGAACCUGCGGAAGGAUCAUUAACGAGUUUUUGAAAGGGGUUGUAGCUGGCCAAAAAAUAAGGCAUGUGCACACCCUGCUCAAUCCACUCUCAAACCCCUGUGCACUUAUUGUAGGCUAUGGUGGGAUAGCUGGCUUCGGUCAGUUUGAAAGCCUUGUCUAUGUCUAUUACAAACGCUUCAGUUAAAGAAUGUCAUAUAGCGUCUAACGCAUUAUAUACAACUUUCAGCAACGGAUCUCUUGGCUCUCGCAUCGAUGAAGAACGCAGC